UACGUAGGGUGCGAGCGUUAAUCGGAAUUACUGGGCGUAAAGCGUGCGCAGGCGGUUUUGUAAGUCUGUCGUGAAAUCCCCGGGCUUAACCUGGGAAUUGCGAUGGAGACUGCAAGGCUAGAAUCUGGCAGAGGGGGGUAGAAUUCCACGUGUGAGCAGUGAAAUGCGUAGAGAUGUGGAGGAACACCGAUGGCGAAGGCAGCCCCCUGGGUCAAGAUUGACGCUCCAUGCACGUAAAGCGUGGGGAGCAACAAGG
This 256-nucleotide ribosomal RNA is filed under the name uncultured bacterium. RNAcentral describes it as "partial 16S ribosomal RNA". It matches the Rfam family "Bacterial small subunit ribosomal RNA", at positions 524 to 776 of the family's 1533-position model. The record is from RNAcentral.